CCCACUCCAUCCCCUACCUAUUAGUGAAGAUCCGUUAGGCAGAGUACCUGUGGACAUUAUAGUUGCACAGGCACUUUGGUGACUCUAGAGAACCUCAGGCCAAUUGCACGUCCCCGUGACGGCGACGCAUUCGGAUGUCUGCCCUUUCAACUUUCGAUGGACUUUCUGCGCCUACCAUGGUGACCACGGGUAAUGGGGAAUCAGGGUUCGAUUCCAGAGAGGGAGCCUGAGAAACAGCUAUCACAUCCAAGGAAGGCAGUAGGCGUGCAAAUUACCCACUCCCAACGCGGGGAGGUAGUGAUG
This is a non-coding RNA of Pelobates cultripes (western spadefoot toad), 303 nucleotides long. NCBI's taxonomy places the organism in Eukaryota, Metazoa, Chordata, Amphibia, Anura, Pelobatidae. The record is from the annotation of a GenBank genome assembly.